ACUGAAUCAUGAAUCACUUUUGAAUUCUGAAUUUCCUUUCGCCAUCUUUAUCCCCUUCACCAACGUCUCAUUGAUUGCCACAAACAAAAGUAAUUACUGUUUCUGUCGACCAAUCAUCCAACGCUAAGUCGGAUUGGCUAGUUUUAGACGAUUCGCAACUUGACAAAAAACGUCAUGUUGAAUAGAAAAUUGUUUUGGAAUUGCAUAAGAGGUGACAGAUGGC
Non-coding RNA from Caenorhabditis elegans, 223 nucleotides. NCBI's taxonomy places the organism in Eukaryota, Metazoa, Nematoda, Chromadorea, Rhabditida, Rhabditidae. The record is from Ensembl.